Molecule: long non-coding RNA, 1705 nt
Filed under: Homo sapiens (human)
Lineage: Eukaryota; Metazoa; Chordata; Mammalia; Primates; Hominidae
Description: non-protein coding lnc-MYOM1-4:1
Source: RNAcentral
GUCCUGUGGCUUUGCCUGGCCGCACAUUCCAGGGCACGGCGAAGGGCGGGGCCCGUCGGCCCAAGUCCUUGUAGGGAAAUCGAGGAGAGGGCUGCGGGCCCACGUGACUGACCCUCGCCCCGCCCCGAAGCCGGGCUCCAGCUUGUGGGCGGUAGUGCGCCUGCGCUUGACGCCCCGCGCGGGGUCUGGGUCUCCGCCUGAGGGCCCCGGAGCAGUGCGCGUAUCCCGGGAGCGGAUCUUGAUGCUAGCUCUGUGUGCAGUGUAAUUUUAUUAAGAGUCCCGCCCCCUCCAUACGGGAGGAAACGUGUGUCCCUGGGGCCCUCAGCCAAGCCUCCACUAUCUUUUUGGCCCAGACGGAUUUCCCAGGUCACAAGUGGCUGGAGACUUCCUCUUGAAAAACAUUUGCCGUCGUUUUUCCCUGGCAGAGCCCCUUUGACCCUGGCUAACAAGGACAGCCUGACUUGGAUCCCACUAUGCAGGAAGGAAGGCGACUCUUCCCCGCACCUCUUGCUACGAUUAGGACUUGCGACUUGGUGAAAACAGGAAUCAAAACUUGGGCCUAUUUCUCCUGAGGUCUGCUUGCCUAGAACAAUUCGUAACGAUGAAUCUUAUUAAAAAGAGAAAGUCCUCCCCGACUUUAUCUUUUUCCGCCCAGAAUCCGAUAAGGAAGACUUGUUCUGGCCCCCUCAGCUCUCUGACCUCACCUACCAGAGGAGAGAGUGGGAUCCUCUAACACUCGAGCCGUCAUCCCAGCACUAGGGGACAGUGACCAGUGUGGCUCCCGUGGCCAGAACCCUUCUGAAGUUUGGGUUGCCCUGUGGUCUUCGCCUUCAAAGCAGGCCGCCACUUGAAUCCUUCUGGAACGGACAGUGUUGCUGUAAACGCCGCGGAAUAGUAUCUUCUAAGUAUUCGUAGCUUCUUUCUUGAGGGAUCUCGGGAACGUUCCGUGUAUUAACCACUAACGUAUUCCAAAGUUAACUUCGUGGUAAAGUCGCUGGGGAAAAAAAUAACUGCUCCAGUUCCACAGGUGAUUGAAACAAAAGUGAUCUGUUUCCCAAACUUCCUUGAUGGUAAAGAAUGACUUGGGGUACUAAUUAAAAAUAAAAAUAAUUGCGUCAUUUCCAACCUACUAAAUCGGAGUCUUUAAGGGCAGGUCCUGGGAAGCCAUCCAUGUAAUGGGGGUCCUAAGUGGGCUCUUAUCGGCGAGGGCGGGGACUCAGCGAGAGGGCUGGCAGCGACGGGACAAACCCCAGACGGCUGCGCGGAUGCGUUUGUUCCUGGAGCUUGCGAGCACUUGCAAUGCAUGGACACCUCCACAGGGUGGUGGCCUGCCACCACGAGAGCACCAGCUCCGCCAGCGUCCUCUCCAGAGGACACUUUAGAGCAGAAAGAAACGGACAGUUCAGUCUUCCCCUCAGCUUGAAGGCAGCAUUCUUUUGCUUCUCUUUGAGUCAGGUAAUUGUUUUGUCUUCCUUCCACUCAGUCAGCAGGUAUUAAACAGCAACCGCAUUGCCAAGCACUGUGGUGGGGGCUGUGGCUUAUGCUUUCCGGAGCAGAACAUAGUUGUUGCUACCUUGGGGAUGGGGGCGGGAGGAAUAGAAAAAAUGCGGAGUUAGCGGAGUAUCAGGGAACAAGGGUGGAACAGAUAUAAUAAUUGCAGUACAGUUAGUUAGGGCCUAUUGAAGGAGCACAAACGAAGCGUAAA